GCAUGUGCCAUACAAAAACGCUUUUCUCCCCCCUGGGCCUCUCAUAGUGUCCCAUGCCAGAGCAAACUGUGGCCCUGAACCAUUGCCUGGCCUCUGUGCCGUAGACUGCAGGCACUGAAGCGGGUCGCACAGUG
Molecule: small nucleolar RNA, 134 nt
Filed under: Vulpes vulpes (red fox)
Lineage: Eukaryota; Metazoa; Chordata; Mammalia; Carnivora; Canidae
Description: Small nucleolar RNA SNORA42/SNORA80 family (ENSVVUG00000004679.1)
Rfam family: Small nucleolar RNA SNORA42/SNORA80 family
About the family: The members of this family belong to the H/ACA class of snoRNAs that guide the sites of modification of uridines to pseudouridines. Human ACA42 (SNORA42) was cloned from HeLa cells by immunoprecipitation with anti-GAR1 antibody.
Source: Rfam by way of RNAcentral